GCCAGGCAAGGUGGCACAUGCCUGUAGUCCCAGCUACUCAGGAGGCUGAGGCAGGAGGAUCACUUGAGCCCAGGAGUUCUGGGCUGUAGCAUGCUAAGCCAAUCAGGUGUCUGCACUAAGUUCGGCAUCAAUAUGGUGACCUCCCAGGAGUGGGGGACCACCAGGUUGCCUAAGGAGGGGUGAACUGGCCCAGGCCAGAAAUGGAGCAGGUCAAAACUCUGGUGCUGAUCAGUAGUGGGAUCGCACCUGUGAAUAGCCACUGCAUUCCAGCCUGGGCAACAUAGCAAGACCCAGUCUCUA
This is an unclassified non-coding RNA of Callithrix jacchus (white-tufted-ear marmoset), 300 nucleotides long. It matches the Rfam family "Metazoan signal recognition particle RNA". Rfam says of the family: The signal recognition particle (SRP) is a universally conserved ribonucleoprotein. The record is from Ensembl. Lineage: Eukaryota; Metazoa; Chordata; Mammalia; Primates; Cebidae.